AUGAAAGGGACCGGAUCUAGGCAAUUUCGCUACAGCGAGCUGGCAGCUGCCACCGACAACUUCUCAGACGACAAAAAGCUUGGGGAAGGCGGGUUUGGGUCAGUGUACAGAGGGUUCUUGAAGGGCUUGAGAAUUGAGGUGGCUAUCAAGAGAGUGUCCAAGGGCUCCAAGCAGGGGAGGAAGGAGUACGCCUCUGAGGUGAGGGUCAUAAGCCGGCUUCGGCACCGUAACCUGGUGCAGAUCGUUGGCUGGUGCCACGCCAGAGAGCAGCUCCUCCUGGUCUAUGCGCUGAUGCCCAACAGCAGCCUCGACGUUCACCUUCACCGUGCAGACAAUGUGCUGUGGUGGCCAGUAAGGCAUAAGAUCGUGCUGGGGAUCGGCUCCGCGCUUCUCUACCUGCAUGAGGAAUGGGAGCAGUGCGUUCUCCACAGGGACAUCAAGACGAGCAACAUGAUGCUGGACGCGUCGUUCAACGUCAAGCUUGGCGAUUUCGGGCUCGCCAGGCUCGUCGACCAUGACAGAGGGGCGCACACGACGGAGCUCGCCGGCACGCUGGGGUACAUGGACCCAGAGUGCACCGUCAGCGGGAGAUCCAGCACCGAGUCGGACGUCUACAGUUUCGGCGUCGUGCUGCUCGAGAUCGCGUGUGGACGGAGGCCCACCGUGGCUCGGCCGGACGGCACGCUGAUCCACCUGGCGCAGCGGGUAUCAGAGUUGUAUGGCCAAGGGAGGAUACUCGACGCAGCCGACGCACGGCUGGAUGGGAACUUCGACCCGCAGGAGAUGGAGCGCGUGCUAGCCGUCGGCCUCUGGUGCGCGUGCCACGACCGGGACCUAAGGCCGUCCAUAAGGCAGGCCAUCAACGUGCUCCGGUUGGAGGCGCCGCUUCCCGACAGGAUUCCGCCGGUUGGCCGUGCGGCCGGCCCUCUUCCCAUGCCAGACUCCGAUACGGGCCACAGCUCCGGCUCCACUCAGCAACUAAAUUAA
RNAcentral lists this ribosomal RNA (987 nucleotides) under Triticum aestivum (bread wheat). Its description in RNAcentral is "partial small subunit ribosomal RNA". The record is from RNAcentral. Lineage: Eukaryota; Viridiplantae; Streptophyta; Magnoliopsida; Poales; Poaceae.